AUCCCUUGACAUCCUGCGAACUUUCUAGAGAUAGAUUGGUGCCUUCGGGAACGCAGUGACAGGUGCUGCAUGGCUGUCGUCAGCUCGUGUCGUGAGAUGUUGGGUUAAGUCCCGCAACGAGCGCAACCCUUAUCAUUAGUUGCUAACAUUUAGUUGAGAACUCUAAUGAGACUGCCGGUGAUAAACCGGAGGAAGGCGGGGACGACGUCAAGUCAUCAUGGCCCUUAUGGGAUGGGCUACACACGUGCUACAAUGGGGGGUACAAAGAGCAGCCAACUGGCGACAGUGCGCGAAUCUCAUAAAACCUCUCGUAGUCCGGAUCGGAGUCUGCAACUCGACUCCGUGAAGUCGGAAUCGCUAGUAAUCGUGAAUCAGAAUGUCACGGUGAAUACGUUCCGCGGGCCU
This 405-nucleotide ribosomal RNA is filed under the name uncultured bacterium. RNAcentral describes it as "bacterial SSU rRNA". It matches the Rfam family "Bacterial small subunit ribosomal RNA", at positions 976 to 1381 of the family's 1533-position model. The record is from RNAcentral.